Molecule: ribosomal RNA, 216 nt
Filed under: uncultured bacterium
Lineage: Bacteria
Description: partial 16S ribosomal RNA
Rfam family: Bacterial small subunit ribosomal RNA
Source: RNAcentral
UGGGAACGUACCCUUCGGUUCGGAAUAACUCAGGGAAACUUGAGCUAAUACCGGAUACGCCCUUACGGGGAAAGAUUUAUCGCCAAAGGAUCGGCCCGCGUCUGAUUAGCUAGUUGGUAGGGUAAUGGCCUACCAAGGCUACGAUCAGUAGCUGGUCUGAGAGGAUGAUCAGCCACAUUGGGACUGAGACACGGCCCAAACUCCUACGGGAGGCAG